RNAcentral lists this ribosomal RNA (497 nucleotides) under uncultured bacterium. Its description in RNAcentral is "partial 16S ribosomal RNA". It matches the Rfam family "Bacterial small subunit ribosomal RNA", at positions 28 to 507 of the family's 1533-position model. The record is from RNAcentral.
GACGAACGCUGGCGGCGUGCCUAAUACAUGCAAGUUGAGCGAUGAAGAUUGGUGCUUGCACCAAUUUGAAGAGCAGCGAACGGGUGAGUAACGCGUGGGGAAUCUGCCUUUGAGCGGGGGACAACAUUUGGAAACGAAUGCUAAUACCGCAUAACAACUUUAAACAUAAGUUUUAAGUUUGAAAGAUGCAAUUGCAUCACUCAAAGAUGAUCCCGCGUUGUAUUAGCUAGUUGGUGAGGUAAAGGCUCACCAAGGCGAUGAUACAUAGCCGACCUGAGAGGGUGAUCGGCCACAUUGGGACUGAGACACGGCCCAAACUCCUACGGGAGGCAGCAGGAGGGAAUCUUCGGCAAUGGACGAAAGUCUGACCGAGCAACGCCGCGUGAGUGAAGAAGGUUUUCGGAUCGUAAAACUCUGUUGGUAGAGAAGAACGUUGGUGAGAGUGGAAAGCUCAUCAAGUGACGGUAACUACCCAGAAAGGGACGGCUAACUACGUG